This 161-nucleotide ribosomal RNA is filed under the name Listeria ivanovii. Its description in RNAcentral is "16S rRNA. Bacterial SSU". It matches the Rfam family "Bacterial small subunit ribosomal RNA", at positions 1 to 154 of the family's 1533-position model. Lineage: Bacteria; Bacillati; Bacillota; Bacilli; Caryophanales; Listeriaceae. The record is from RNAcentral.
AUUUUAAAGAGAGUUUGAUCCUGGCUCAGGACGAACGCUGGCGGCGUGCCUAAUACAUGCAAGUCGAACGAACGGAGGAAGAGCUUGCUCUUCCAAAGUUAGUGGCGGACGGGUGAGUAACACGUGGGCAACCUGCCUGUAAGUUGGGGAUAACUCCGGGA